AGCGAACGCUGGCGGCAUGCCUAACACAUGCAAGUCGAACGAGACCUUCGGGUCUAGUGGCGCACGGGUGCGUAACGCGUGGGAACCUGCCCUUAGGUUCGGAAUAACUCCCCGAAAGGGGUGCUAAUACCGGAUAAUGUCUUCGGACCAAAGAUUUAUCGCCUUUGGAUGGGCCCGCGUUGGAUUAGCUAGUUGGUAGGGUAAAAGCCUACCAAGGCGACGAUCCAUAGCUGGUCUGAGAGGAUGAUCAGCCACACUGGGACUGAGACACGGCCCAGACUCCUACGGGAGGCAGCAGUGGGGAAUAUUGGAGAAUGGGGGAAAGCCUGAUAAAGCAAUGCCGCGUGAGUGAUGAAGGCCGUAGGGUUGUAAAGCUCUUUUACCCGGGAUGAUAAUGACAGUACCGGGAGAAUAAGCUCCGGCUAACUACGUG
This 433-nucleotide ribosomal RNA is filed under the name uncultured bacterium. RNAcentral's name for it is "partial 16S ribosomal RNA". It matches the Rfam family "Bacterial small subunit ribosomal RNA", at positions 29 to 507 of the family's 1533-position model. The record is from RNAcentral.